UUUUACUUACAUAAAGAGAAGGAAUAAAAACAGUUAGUUAACAUGAAGCACAAUCAUAUGGAUGUGAAUACCGUAGUGACUGAUAAUGUGAGUCAGGGACAUUUAGGUUUGUUAUGAAAUGUGUGGACUGAUUGAUAACUAUUGUGUUUUCAUAUAUUUUGGCUUUUUAGCAAGGACAC
This is a long non-coding RNA of Thalassophryne amazonica, 179 nucleotides long. RefSeq lists it as uncharacterized. NCBI's taxonomy places the organism in Eukaryota, Metazoa, Chordata, Actinopteri, Batrachoidiformes, Batrachoididae. The transcript has 3 exons. The record is from RefSeq and is a predicted model, not a curated record.